RNAcentral lists this long non-coding RNA (1850 nucleotides) under Homo sapiens (human). RNAcentral describes it as "HSALNT0391235". Lineage: Eukaryota; Metazoa; Chordata; Mammalia; Primates; Hominidae. The record is from RNAcentral.
GUGAGAUCUGGAUGUUUAAAGGCAUAUGGCACCUCCCCGCUCACUCUCUUGUGCUCCUGCUCUUGCCAAUGUGAUGUGCCUGUUCUCUACCACCUUCUGCCAUGAAAUCCUCCUUCAUACUGUUCUAUUUCUCCUGUGACACGGAAGGAUUCAGGUUUUGUGAGACCUGAAGCUAAUACAAUUUGGAGGACCAUCUUUAAGCAAAAGAGUACAAAAUUACGAAUACAAAACCAGGUCAGUAGGGAUUCUGCUCCACACACUGACUCAGGGACCCAGCUUGAUGAACACACCAAGAUCCCAACAAAUGGUCUUCACAGUCAUCAGGGCAAGAAAAGAGAGGAACUGGAAGAUGAAGUGCUGGCUCUUCAAUGCUUUGGGAAGCGACGCAGAUCACAUCAACUGAUAACCCAUUGUCCAGGACUAGUCACAUGACCCCAACUAACUGCUGGGGGCUGGAACACACGGGAGAACAAGUGGACUUUGGUGAGCAGAAAAUGCCUCUGCCACAGCCUCUUGGUACUUAUUGAACAUAGGAUGUGUCUUUUGAUUUAAUACUAUUAAUAGUUUGCAUUUGCAUAAAUCUCAUUAUAAAGGCAUUUUAGGUUAUUUCCAUUUAUUGUCUUAUUCUCCUCUCCUCAAGCUCUUAAAGAAACUAAGGUCCACAAAGUGGAAGUAACAACAUAAUAAGUGGAAAGGAGGAAUAAAAGCCAGGGUUGUGACCUGAGCUUUUUCUGCUCUUCCACAGUGGCUGCAGAGAAACGAAUGCUUUGUCAAGAAUUUAAUUUGAAUUUCCUUGGAGCCUUCUUAAAGAUCAUGGUGGUGGUGGGUGGGGGGAGACACAGAACCUGAUUAACUGUUUGCUGUUGAGAAAGCAAUGACUGUACCAAGAUUUUACUGAGAUUUUUGCGAAAUGGGCUGGUUUCCCGAAAUGGGCUGGUUUCCCGACAAAAACUCAUUCCUUUCUCGUUAAAAUACAAUUGCUUCCUCUUCUGGGAGCUGGUUUUAUGCUAUGUUGCAAUGCACCUCUUGUUUCCACUCCAGCUAACUGUGUCCUUAACCUUAUCCUGACCUCAUAGAACCACAGCCCUGGCUCAGCACUUAAGUAAAACCCGCCCAGAGAGGGGCAUGGGGCUUCUGAGCUGGAGUGGCCCCGAACUGGAAGGGACUUGAAUGAGAAGGGGCAUAUCAUGGAUUGUCCCAGGGUGGAAACCACCUGGACUUCUGCCUUGGUGAGCAAAAAUCAGACUCAAGAGGAACCAGUGUCCCAAAAUGGGCCUACAGUGUGAAUGAGGAAAAUAGCUAACUACCUCUUAUGUGGCACUCACAUGGGGCCAGGCAGUUUUAAGCACUUUGCUCUUUUAACUCAUUUCACCCCCACAGAAACUCCUCAUAAGGUCAGUAUUAUUAUUAUUACCACCAUUGUAAACAUAUGGGAACCAGAUAUAGGCAGCAAAAAUGACACCUCCAAGGUGGCACUGCUAGUACAAGGCAGCGUUGCGAUGACACCCGAGUAUGACAUCUGAAUAUGUGUAAGAUACUCCACCAAUAAUGAUUUUUCCCCCUGAUUAGGAAGACCAAAAAACUUUUGUAUAAAAAUAAAAAACUAUGGUGCAUAAGGAGGGAUGAGUUGGAUAACUUUUAAAACGUCUGAUGCUUAUUGCCAACUUGCCCUCCAGAAAGAGAAAGCAACCUAUACUUCCAGAGCAGGGUACUGGGAGUAAUUCUGCCUCGAUAAUCUCUGGGCCCUGAUGCAAAGGGGUGUACUGUGACAGCAUGGCUCACUAAGCCUCCUGGACACAAAUCUCUUCUCAAAUUGGUUUCCAGGACUCAGGCUCAGACAUGAAAUAAAG